AAAGAACUCUUCAUCGUGACCUCCUGCUGCCAUGCGGUUUCCUUACUGUGACCCCGGUCGAAAGCGAAAUUAACCCGCCAAAGGCAGUAAGGCGACCAAGAACUCGACAAUAUUCUAAAGAUAACACAUCAGAUGGAGCUGAUGAAGAUGAAUCCCAAUCUGAUUCUGAGGAAUAUCACUAUCAAAGAAACCUAAAAGUGGACACAAUAGGUUUCAACCUGACCUCCGGACCUAUGGAAUACUUACCCGAAAGGAUCGAACCAGAACCUGACUUGGCUACUGUUGAGCAAAAUCUUUCAGACGUAGCUGAAGCUUCCCCUGAGAAUUCUCCAGUAGAAACUUAUGACAAAGACUCACCUGAUCCUGAAGAGAAAGACUCACCUGACCCUGAAGAGAGAGACUCACCUGAUCCUGAAGAGAGAGACUCAAUUGCUGAAGAGGAAAUUGGGAACCUACCUGAGAAAGAUCCGGAUAAUAUCCAUCCUUCUACUCAACCUGCUCAGGAGAGCAAAGAAAACACAAGUGAUCUGGGUCAAACAGACAACCAAAAUGAAAGUGACUGUUCGGGGAGACCUAUCAGAGACAGAAAAGCGACUAAAAGACUGACUUAUCCUGAACUAGGAAACCCGUUGAUUACAAUAGUUCAGUCUUUAUUUCAAACCUUGAGUGAUGUAUUUACAGACUCUCUUGAAGAACCUAGCUCUCUAAGAAUCCCUGGAGUUAUGACAGUAUGAAAUUCAAAAUGCACAGGGACGUGCAUUAGGUAAAGAGGGGAGGAUGUAACCCACGUUAAAAUCUGACAAAUAGGAAUAAAUAGCUGCUCAGUUAAAAUCUGAAUAAAUAGGAAUAAAUACUUGCCCAUGUUAAAAUCUGACAUAAAUAAGAAUAAAUAGCGGAUUAAAAGUCUGAACAGAGAAUAACGUCGCUGCCCCUUUAAGGAACCAGCGUCACAGAUGCGACGCCUGGGUGACGCUGCGGUGCACAAACCAGAGGGAGAGAGCAGAGGAGGAAUCGGAGGAAAAGAGCAGUUGAUUGAUUAACGGAAAAAAAGUUAAUAUUAUAGUUAAGAAGACAUAAUUUACCUGGUCGGAAACUGACGGGGAUUUUAUGAGAACUAAGUUACAUCGGUUUUGGUCAGGUUUUUUUGUUCGGUUGGAAGCUCGGUCGGAGCGAAGAUUGGUCUGCCGUGUGCGACGUCCACAUUCACAGACGGGAUUCAAGAUGGCGAGCCAGACCUAGACCUUCAAUUCAUCUUCUCCAUCAUAUCAGGGAGGGACUCUCCUGCGUAUGAUAAUUCGCUGCCGGAGCGGUAGGAACUUCAGGAACUAGUUCAAACCGAACUGGACAGGAUUAAGAACUGAUUUAAGAACUGGUGAAAUUAUUAUUAUUUUUCUGGACUGAAUCAAAACUGAAGCUUUUCAUUGAACUGAGAACCUGAACUCACAUUUGGACUUGAACUUGAGUUUAAAGUGUCAUACUUAAAUUUUCAUAUGUUAUGUCUCUGAAUGUGAAUUGAAUAAUUGUGGUCCACUUUGAUUUGUUUGAGGGUAUUUCCUUACCUGUGAAAAAAAAUGAGUUAACUCAGAGAAAAAAUAGGAAUCCUAAAAUAGGUGCAACCUAAGAAAAGGAGACUGGUCUAACUAACUUAAAUUAGUUUGACUAAAAUAACCUAGGAAAAAGAGACUGGUCUAACUAAAUUAGAUUAGUUUUACUGAAAUAAGCUAGG
This is a long non-coding RNA of Poecilia latipinna (sailfin molly), 1726 nucleotides long. RefSeq lists it as uncharacterized. The transcript has 2 exons. NCBI's taxonomy places the organism in Eukaryota, Metazoa, Chordata, Actinopteri, Cyprinodontiformes, Poeciliidae. The record is from RefSeq and is a predicted model, not a curated record.